GUGCUCAACGCCCUCCGGCAUCACGGCGAGCGGCGGAC
Myxococcus stipitatus DSM 14675 is the source of this 38-nucleotide non-coding RNA. The record is from Rfam. NCBI's taxonomy places the organism in Bacteria, Pseudomonadati, Myxococcota, Myxococcia, Myxococcales, Myxococcaceae.